UCUGAAGAUCAGCUCUUGUCUGUCACCAGUUUGGAUGCCGUGGUGUUUAUGCGCAUUUUCAUCUUCAGUUUGAAGGUGUUUGGGUUUGGUGGGAUUAUUGGGGUUUUUGUUCUUCUGCCAAUAAAUUUUCUGGGGACCCAGCUGGAGGUGGAUUUUUCGGAUUUGCCCAACAAGUCUUUGGACUCGUUUAGUAUUUCGAAUGUGGAUGAUGGCUCAAACUGGUUAUGGGUUCAUUUUUGUG
Long non-coding RNA from Rosa rugosa (rugosa rose), 241 nucleotides. RefSeq lists it as uncharacterized. The transcript has 3 exons. Lineage: Eukaryota; Viridiplantae; Streptophyta; Magnoliopsida; Rosales; Rosaceae. The record is from RefSeq and is a predicted model, not a curated record.